Molecule: non-coding RNA, 22 nt
Filed under: Arabidopsis thaliana (thale cress)
Lineage: Eukaryota; Viridiplantae; Streptophyta; Magnoliopsida; Brassicales; Brassicaceae
Source: RNAcentral
CGUCAGAGGCUUUUUCUCUGGA